UCAACUCAUACAAAAUUCUCACAACCUUGGGUUAUCUGAUUUCUCAAAGUCACAAUCAAUCAAAAUGACUUAAGAAAGCAGAUAUGGCCGGGCGCGGUGGCUCAAGCCUGUAAUCCCAGCACU
Long non-coding RNA from Sapajus apella (tufted capuchin), 123 nucleotides. RefSeq lists it as uncharacterized. The transcript has 3 exons. Lineage: Eukaryota; Metazoa; Chordata; Mammalia; Primates; Cebidae. The record is from RefSeq and is a predicted model, not a curated record.